UACGUAGGGUGCGAGCGUUGUCCGGAAUCAUUGGGCGUAAAGGGCGCGUAGGCGGCCGUCCAAGUCGGGUGUGAAAUCCCUCGGCUCAACCGAGGAACUGCACUCGAUACUGGUCGGCUAGAGUCCGGGAGGGGAUGGUGGAAUUCCCAGUGUAGCGGUGAAAUGCGUAGAUAUUGGGAAGAACACUGGUGGCGAAGGCGGCCAUCUGGACCGGAACUGACGCUGAGGCGCGAAAGCCAGGGGAGCGAAUGGG
RNAcentral lists this ribosomal RNA (253 nucleotides) under uncultured bacterium. RNAcentral's name for it is "partial 16S ribosomal RNA". It matches the Rfam family "Bacterial small subunit ribosomal RNA", at positions 524 to 776 of the family's 1533-position model. The record is from RNAcentral.